This 253-nucleotide ribosomal RNA is filed under the name uncultured bacterium. RNAcentral's name for it is "partial 16S ribosomal RNA". It matches the Rfam family "Bacterial small subunit ribosomal RNA", at positions 524 to 776 of the family's 1533-position model. The record is from RNAcentral.
UACGUAGGGGGCAAGCGUUGUCCGGAUUUAUUGGGGGUAAAGAGCGUGUAGGCGGCCACACAGGUCAGCUGUGAAAACUCGAGGCUCAACCUCGAGACGUCGGUUGAAACCGUAUGGCUAGAGUCCGGAAGAGGAGAGUGGAAUUCCCGGUGUAGCGGUGAAAUGCGCAGAUAUCGGGAAGAACACCCGUGGCGAAGGCGGCUCUCUGGGACGGUACUGACGCUGAGACGCGAAAGCGUGGGGAGCGAACAGG